AGCGAACGCUGGCGGCAGGCUUAACACAUGCAAGUCGAGCGGGCCCUUCGGGGUCAGCGGCGGAUGGGUGAGUAACGCGUGGGAACGCGCCUUCUGGUCUGGAAUAACCCUGGGAAACUAGGGCUAAUACCGGAAACGCCCCUUUGGGGAAAGGUUUACUGCCGGACGAUCGGCCCGCGUUUGAUUAGCUAGUGGGUGGGGUAACGGCCUACCAAGGCGACGAUCAGUAGCUGGUCUGAGAGGAUGAUCCGCCACACUGGGACUGAGACACGGCCCAGACUCCUACGGGAGGGGGGAGUGGGGAAUAUUGGACAAUGGGCGCAAGGAUGAUCCAGCCAUGCCGGGUGAGUGAUGAAGGCGUUAGGGUUGUAAAGCUCUUUUAUCCGGGACGAUAAUGACGGUACCGGAGGAAUAAGCCCCGGCUAACUUCGUG
RNAcentral lists this ribosomal RNA (433 nucleotides) under uncultured bacterium. RNAcentral describes it as "partial 16S ribosomal RNA". It matches the Rfam family "Bacterial small subunit ribosomal RNA", at positions 28 to 507 of the family's 1533-position model. The record is from RNAcentral.